UGGGGAAUUUUGGACAAUGGGGGCAACCCUGAUCCAGCGACGCCGCGUGAAGGAUGAAGGUCUUCGGAUUGUAAACUUCUUUUGGAGGGGAUGAAUGUCUGCGUGAAUAACGCAGAGUGACAGUACUCUCUGAAUAAGCCACGGCUAACUACGUGCCAGCAGCCGCGGUAAUACGUAGGUGGCGAGCGAUACUCGGAAUCACUAGGCGUAAAGCGCAGGUAGGCGGUUCGGUAAGUCUCUUGUGAAAGCUCCUGGCUCAACUGGGAGAGGUCAAGGGAAACUGUCGGGCUAGAGUGUGGUAGGGGAUACUGGAAUUCCUGGUGUAGCGGUGAAAUGCGUAGAUAUCAGGAGGAAUACCUAUGGCGAAAGCAGGUAUCUGGGCCAUCACUGACGCUGAGCUGCGAAAGCUAGGGGAGCAAACAGGAUUAGAUACCCGUGUAGUCC
This 444-nucleotide ribosomal RNA is filed under the name uncultured bacterium. RNAcentral's name for it is "bacterial SSU rRNA". It matches the Rfam family "Bacterial small subunit ribosomal RNA", at positions 355 to 796 of the family's 1533-position model. The record is from RNAcentral.